This 464-nucleotide ribosomal RNA is filed under the name Vreelandella stevensii. RNAcentral describes it as "partial 16S ribosomal RNA". It matches the Rfam family "Bacterial small subunit ribosomal RNA", at positions 338 to 795 of the family's 1533-position model. The record is from RNAcentral. Lineage: Bacteria; Pseudomonadati; Pseudomonadota; Gammaproteobacteria; Oceanospirillales; Halomonadaceae.
CCUACGGGCGGCUGCAGUGGGGAAUAUUGGACAAUGGGCGAAAGCCUGAUCCAGCCAUGCCGCGUGUGUGAAGAAGGCCUUCGGGUUGUAAAGCACUUUCAGUGGGGAAGAAAGCCUUGGGGCUAAUACCCUCGAGGAAGGACAUCACCCACAGAAGAAGCACCGGCUAACUCCGUGCCAGCAGCCGCGGUAAUACGGAGGGUGCGAGCGUUAAUCGGAAUUACUGGGCGUAAAGCGCGCGUAGGCGGUCUGAUAAGCCGGUUGUGAAAGCCCCGGGCUCAACCUGGGAACGGCAUCCGGAACUGUCAGGCUAGAGUGCAGGAGAGGAAGGUAGAAUUCCCGGUGUAGCGGUGAAAUGCGUAGAGAUCGGGAGGAAUACCAGUGGCGAAGGCGGCCUUCUGGACUGACACUGACGCUGAGGUGCGAAAGCGUGGGUAGCAAACAGGAUUAGAUACCUAGUAGUC